This 254-nucleotide ribosomal RNA is filed under the name uncultured bacterium. RNAcentral's name for it is "partial 16S ribosomal RNA". It matches the Rfam family "Bacterial small subunit ribosomal RNA", at positions 524 to 776 of the family's 1533-position model. The record is from RNAcentral.
CACGUAGGGGGCAAGCGUUGUCCGGAUUUAUUGGGCGUAAAGAGCUCGUAGGCGGUUUCGUAAGUCGGGUGUGAAAACUCUAGGCUCAACCUAGAGACGCCACCCGAUACUGCGAUGACUAGAGUCCGGUAGGGGAGUGUGGAAUUCCUGGUGUAGCGGUGAAAUGCGUAGAUAUCUGGAGGAACACCGGUGGCGAAGGCGGCAUCCUGGACCAACACUGACGCUGAUGAGCGAAAGCCAGGGGAGCAAACGGG